Molecule: ribosomal RNA, 305 nt
Filed under: uncultured bacterium
Lineage: Bacteria
Description: bacterial SSU rRNA
Rfam family: Bacterial small subunit ribosomal RNA
Source: RNAcentral
CCUACGGGGGGCAGCAGUGGGGAAUAUUGCACAAUGGGGGAAACCCUGAUGCAGCAACGCCGCGUGAGUGAAGAAGUAUUUCGGUAUGUAAAGCUCUAUCAGCAGGGAAGAAAAUGACGGUACCUGAGUAAGAAGCCCCGGCUAACUACGUGCCAGCAGCCGCGGUAAUACGUAGGGGGCAAGCGUUAUCCGGAUUUACUGGGUGUAAAGGGAGCGUAGACGGCGAUGCAAGUCUGAUGUGAAAAUCCGGGGCCCAACCCCGGAACUGCAUUGGAAACUGUAUAUCUAGAGUGUCGGAGAGGCAA